Molecule: ribosomal RNA, 464 nt
Filed under: uncultured bacterium
Lineage: Bacteria
Description: partial 16S ribosomal RNA
Rfam family: Bacterial small subunit ribosomal RNA
Source: RNAcentral
CUACGGGUGGCUGCAGUGGGGAAUAUUGCACAAUGGGCGCAAGCCUGAUGCAGCCAUGCCGCGUGUAUGAAGAAGGCCUUCGGGUUGUAAAGUACUUUCAGCGGGGAGGAAGGGAGUAAAGUUAAUACCUUUGCUCAUUGACGUUACCCGCAGAAGAAGCACCGGCUAACUCCGUGCCAGCAGCCGCGGUAAUACGGAGGGUGCAAGCGUUAAUCGGAAUUACUGGGCGUAAAGCGCACGCAGGCGGUUUGUUAAGUCAGAUGUGAAAUCCCCGGGCUCGACCUGGGAACUGCAGCUGAUACUGGCAAGCUCGAGUCUCGUAGAGGGGGGUAGAAUUCCAGGUGUAGCGGUGAAAUGCGUAGAGAUCUGGAGGAAUACCGGUGGCGAAGGCGGCCCCCUGGACGAAGACUGACGCUCAGGUGCGAAAGCGUGGGGAGAAAACAGGAUUAGAUACCCUUGUAGUC